RNAcentral lists this ribosomal RNA (374 nucleotides) under uncultured bacterium. Its description in RNAcentral is "bacterial SSU rRNA". It matches the Rfam family "Archaeal small subunit ribosomal RNA", at positions 477 to 851 of the family's 1478-position model. The record is from RNAcentral.
CAGCACCUCAAGUGGUCAGGAUGAUUAUUGGGCCUAAAGCAUCCGUAGCUCGUUUUGUAAGUUUUCGGUUAAAUCCAUGCGCUUAACGUAUGGGCUGCCGGGAAUACUGCAUAACUAGGAAGUGGGAGAGGUAGACGGUACUCGGUAGGAAGGGGUAAAAUCCUUUGAUCUAUUGAUGACCACCUGUGGCGAAGGCGGUCUACCAGAACACGUUCGACGGUGAGGGAUGAAAGCUGGGGGAGCAAACCGGAUUAGAUACCCGGGUAGUCCCAGCUGUAAACUAUGCAAACUCAGUGAUGCAUUGGCUUAUGGCCAAUGCAGUGCUGCAGGGAAGCCGUUAAGUUUGCCGCCUGGGAAGUACGUACGCAAGUGUG